CCCUGACAUAGCACUCUUGUCAUACUGAGACUAAGGUAGAAAAAGACACUUCCAAAGGGUGUCAAUGACAAGAGAGAAAUAGACAUAGAGUGGUCACUUCAUUUACCAACCCUGGAACCGCAGACCUCUGGGCUUCCUGGGGCCGCAGUGACUGUGUCCAGUCCUUCCUCACCCCGCUGCAGAGUCAGUCCAGGAGGCCUUUACCCACAGCACUGCCACCUCCCUCCACGACCCCUGUCUUUCUCUUCCCCAGAUUAAACGCUCCCACUUCUCUCCAUUCUUCUUUCUCCACCCCCAGGCCCAUUUCUGCCUCGGUUGCCUGCCUCCAACCACAAUCCAGUUUUUUGGCUCCCAGAGACAGACAUGCCCAGAUCUGAACACCACCCACCUGGAUAAAGAAAAUGGGUACGGCCAAGACCAUAGACCUAGUGAUUGUCAGAUGAACAAUUAGACCCACAGAACCAUCCAAGCUACAGAGGACGCAUUCUGCCUUCCCUUGGAUCCUGUGGUUUGAGGAUGGAGGUCUAGGACCGUGGCAGGCUUUUUGUCCCAUGAGGGAAGGCCAUGGAGCUGAGGAAGGGGAAGAACACACACACCUAAUGGAAUCUCGAGAGAAAGUUCAGACAUCAAAAGACAGAAGCGACAGAGACCCAGAUGGAGUCUCACCCAGCCUGGAGUACAGUAGUAUGAUCUGCAACCUUUGCCUCCCAGGUUCAGGCGAUUCUCCUGUCUCAGCCUCCGGAGUAUCUGGGAUUACAGGCACGUGCCACCACGCCCGGCUAAUUUUUUGUAUUUUUAGUAGAGAUGGGUUUCACCGUGUUAGCCAGGAUGGUCUCGAACUCCUGACCUCGUGAUCUACCCGCCUUGGCCUCCCAAAGUGCUGGGAUUACAGGCAUGAGCUACCGUGCUCGGCCAUGCCUGGCUAAUUUAUAUAUACAUAUAUAUAUAUAUAUAUAUUUUUUUUUUUUUUUUUUUUUUUUUGAGACAGAGUCUUGCUCUGUCACCCAGGUUGGAGUGCAGUGGCAUGAUCUCGGCUCACUGCAAGCUCGCCUCCCAGGUUCACGCCAUUCUCCUGCCUCAGCCUCCUGAGUAGCUGGGACUACAGGCGCCCGCAUGACGCCCGGCUAAUUUUUUGUAUUUUUAGUAGAGACGGGGUUUCACUGUGUUAGCCAGGAUGGUCUCGAUCUCCUGACCUCGUGAUCUGCCCACCUCAGCCUCCGAAAGUGCUGGGAUUACAGACAUGAGCCACCGCACCCAGCCUUAUAUAUAUAUUUUUUAUUAGUGAAGAGGUUUCGCCAUAUUGGCCAGACUGGUCUCGAACUCCUGACCUCAGGUGAUCCACCCACCUCGGCCUCCCAAAGUGCUGGGAUUACAGGUGGGAGCCACCGCACCCUGCCUAAAAUGCAAAAGAUUUUGAAUGGCGAGAAUGGCGACAUGAUGCCACAAGUGGAAAAUUCCACACCUGGCUGCAUGUAAUGGGUUGAAGUCAAAAUGCAGUCAAAAACUUUGUUUCAUGUACAAAAUUAUUAAAAACAUUGUAUAAAAUCACCUUCAGACUAUGUGUAUGUGAAACCUAAGUGAAUUUAAUGGCUAGACUUCAG
This 1601-nucleotide long non-coding RNA is filed under the name Homo sapiens (human). Its description in RNAcentral is "PREDICTED lncRNA (TCONS_00075110)". The record is from RNAcentral. Lineage: Eukaryota; Metazoa; Chordata; Mammalia; Primates; Hominidae.